CCUACGGGAGGCAGCAGUAAGGAAUAUUGGUCAAUGGACGCAAGUCUGAACCAGCCAUGCCGCGUGGAGGAUGAAGGUCCUCUGGAUUGUAAACUUCUUUUAUUUGGGAAGAAACCCACGGUUUCUACUGUGGUUGACGGUACCAGAUGAAUAAGCACCGGCUAACUCCGUGCCAGCAGCCGCGGUAAUACGGAGGGUGCGAGCGUUAUCCGGAUUCACUGGGUUUAAAGGGUGCGUAGGCGGGCAGGUAAGUCAGUGGUGAAAUCCCCGAGCUUAACUUGGGAACUGCCGUUGAUACUAUCUGUCUUGAAUGCUGUGGAGGUAAGCGGAAUAUGUCAUGUAGCGGUGAAAUGCUUAGAUAUGACAUAGAACACCUAUUGCGAAGGCAGCUUGCUACACAGCUAUUGACGCUGAGGCACGAAAGCGUGGGGAUCAAACAGGAUUAGAUACCCUUGUAGUC
Molecule: ribosomal RNA, 460 nt
Filed under: uncultured Niastella sp.
Lineage: Bacteria; Pseudomonadati; Bacteroidota; Chitinophagia; Chitinophagales; Chitinophagaceae
Description: bacterial SSU rRNA
Rfam family: Bacterial small subunit ribosomal RNA
Source: RNAcentral